This is a long non-coding RNA of Eriocheir sinensis (Chinese mitten crab), 661 nucleotides long. RefSeq lists it as uncharacterized. The transcript has 4 exons. The record is from RefSeq and is a predicted model, not a curated record. Lineage: Eukaryota; Metazoa; Arthropoda; Malacostraca; Decapoda; Varunidae.
UGCUCUCCUAGGUGAACUGCUUUCGCUAACGACCUCCACCUGCCCGGGUUUGUAAUCGGAGUUUGCUCUCCUAGGUGAACUGCUUUCGCUAACGACCUCCACCUGCCCGGGUUUGUAAUCGGAGUUUGCUCUCCUAGGUGAACUGCUUUCGCUAACGACCUCCACCUGCCCGGGUUUGUAAUCGGAGUUUGCUCUCCUAGGUGAAUUGCUUUCGCUAACGACCUCCACCUGCCCGGGUUUGUUAUCGGAGUUUGCUCUCCUAGGUGAACUGCUUUCGCUAACGACCUCCACCUGCCCGGGUUUAUUGUUCGGAGUUUGCUCUCCUAGGCAGAUUGCCUACCACGGCUAACGAGCCCCACCUGCGUUGUAGCCGAAAGAUCUCCGGCACCUCCGUCGGGGUCCCGAUGGACGCCGAGGCGCCCUGCCGGGAGCCCUCCAGUCCUGCCAUGCUCGCCAGGGAGACCUUGGGCUCACUGGCGCUCCACCGCCCCGCCGAUUCGAAUAGGGCGGAUGCAAGAACUCGCUUCUUAAAACUACCAGACUGGAUUAUAAAAUUAAUCAUAAAUGCCGUGAAGGCGCCGGUCACCGCGUUUAUCGGUUCUUGGAUGAAGGACCGAUGGGCCUCGGGGACGCGCACAAGCAUCAUAAGGAAUCCUCGCCG